CAGAAUGACGACGCGUACCGCAGGAUCCGCGUCCGCUUGCAGAAGCAGUUGACCGAGUUGCGCCAGCAUCGGCCGCGAGAUCGUGUUCAACCGCUCAGGACGAUUGAGUGUGAUGGUGGCGAUGUUACCAUCGACCGCGUAAAGCACCUCCGAUUCAGCGGCACGUGAUUCCUGGAUGCUUUGCGGUUUUGACAUUCCAAUUUCCUCAAUUGAUCUGGGCGCAGGAAAGAUCAA
Molecule: unclassified non-coding RNA, 234 nt
Filed under: Hevea brasiliensis (rubber tree)
Lineage: Eukaryota; Viridiplantae; Streptophyta; Magnoliopsida; Malpighiales; Euphorbiaceae
Source: RNAcentral